RNAcentral lists this ribosomal RNA (253 nucleotides) under uncultured bacterium. Its description in RNAcentral is "partial 16S ribosomal RNA". It matches the Rfam family "Bacterial small subunit ribosomal RNA", at positions 524 to 776 of the family's 1533-position model. The record is from RNAcentral.
UACGAAGGUCCCAAGCGUUAUCCGGAUUUAUUGGGUUUAAAGGGUGCGUAGGCGGUUCUAUAAGUCAGUGGUGAAAUCCGGCAGCUCAACUGUCGAUGUGCCAUUGAUACUGCAGAACUUGAGUACAGACGAGGUAGGCGGAAUUGACGGUGUAGCGGUGAAAUGCUUAGAUAUCGUCAAGAACACCGAUAGCGAAGGCAGCUUACUAGACUGUAACUGACGCUGAUGCACGAAAGCUGGGGGAGCAAACCGG